RNAcentral lists this ribosomal RNA (429 nucleotides) under Chloroflexota bacterium. RNAcentral's name for it is "Chloroflexi bacterium partial 16S ribosomal RNA". It matches the Rfam family "Bacterial small subunit ribosomal RNA", at positions 355 to 776 of the family's 1533-position model. The record is from RNAcentral. Lineage: Bacteria; Bacillati; Chloroflexota.
UGGGGAAUAUUGCACAAUGGGCGCAAGCCUGAUGCAGCCAUGCCGCGUGUAUGAAGAAGGCCUUCGGGUUGUAAAGUACUUUCAGCGGGGAGGAAGGGAGUAAAGUUAAUACCUUUGCUCAUUGACGUUACCCGCAGAAGAAGCACCGGCUAACUCCGUGCCAGCAGCCGCGGUAAUACGGAGGGUGCAAGCGUUAAUCGGAAUUACUGGGCGUAAAGCGCACGCAGGCGGUUUGUUAAGUCAGAUGUGAAAUCCCCGGGCUCAACCUGGGAAUUGCAUCUGAUAAUGGCAAGCUUGAGUCUCGUAGAGGGGGGCAGAAUUCCAGGUGUAACGGAGAAAUGCGUAUAGAUAUGGGUGAAUACCGGUGGCGAAGGCGACCCACAUCACGUAGACUGACGCUCAGGUGCGAAAGCGUGGGGAGCAAGCUGG